GGAUUGAUAAGUCAGGGGUGAAAUCCCACAGCUCAACUGUGGAACCGCCCUCGAUACUGUUAGUCUAGAGUAUAGUUGAAGUUGGCGGAAUGUGUCAUGUAGCGGUGAAAUGCUUAGAUAUGACACAGAACACCGAUCGCGAAGGCAGCUAGCUAAGCUAUAACUGACGCUCAUGCACGAAAGCGUGGGGAUCAAACAGGAUUAGAUACCCUGGUAGUCCACGCUGUAAACGAUGAUUACUCGAUGUUGGCGAUACACAGUCAGCGUCUAAGGGAAACCAAUAAGUAAUCCACCUGGGGAGUACGAUCGCAAGAUUGAAACUCAAAGGAAUUGACGGGGGCCCGCACAAGCGGAGGAGCAUGUGGUUUAAUUCGAUGAUACGCGAGGAACCUUACCUGGGCUAGAACGUAGAGAGACUAUAGGAGAAAUCUUAUAUCCCUUCGGGGCUGUCUACGAGGUGCUGCAUGGUUGUCGUCAGCUCGUGCCGUGAGGUGUCGGGUUAAGUCCCAUAACGAGCGCAACCCCUAUCUUUAGUUGCCAACAGGUCAAGCUGGGGACUCUAAAGAAACUGCCUACGCAAGUAGUGAGGAAGGCGGGGAUGACGUCAAAUCAGCACGGCCCUUACGUCCAGGGCUACACACGUGCUACAAUGGCCGAUACAGAGGGCAGCUACCUGGUGACAGGAUGCAAAUCUCCAAAGUCGGUCUCAGUUCGGAUCGGAGUCUGCAACCCGACUCCGUGAAGUUGGAUUCGCUAGUAAUCGCGCAUCAGCCAUGGCGCGGUGAAUACGUUCCCGGGCCUUGUACACACCGCCCGUAAU
RNAcentral lists this ribosomal RNA (820 nucleotides) under uncultured Bacteroidales bacterium. RNAcentral describes it as "bacterial SSU rRNA". It matches the Rfam family "Bacterial small subunit ribosomal RNA", at positions 577 to 1400 of the family's 1533-position model. Lineage: Bacteria; Pseudomonadati; Bacteroidota; Bacteroidia; Bacteroidales. The record is from RNAcentral.